CAAAGAUAAUCUUUAAAAAGAAGAAUUAUUUACAUUUUAACUAAUGUAAAUGACAAACUUAAGCUACAUACCCUGGAUAAAUUAAUUGAAAAGUGACAUAAUGAGAACAAAUGCAUUUCAUAUAUCUGAAUCUUAAAAGUUAUCUAGCAAUUACUUAUAAUUCUCAAGAACAUAACAUGCUUGUUUCAAAUAAAAUGAAAAAUAGACAAAGAAAAGUUAAAAAGAAUAACUAGAGUAGAAUAAGAAGGGAACAAAUAAAACAUAAAAGAGGGUAAGGUGCAAGCUUUGGGUAGAGUAACCUGGGAAAUGAAAAGAAAAAUACUAGGUGAAGAAAAAAGUGGGUUUAAUUAUUAUUUUAAAGCACAGGUGGUGGAGGGGAAGGGGAUUGGGCUGAAAGUAAACAAAAACGAG
This 411-nucleotide long non-coding RNA is filed under the name Solanum tuberosum (potato). RNAcentral describes it as "long non-coding RNA (STUB_LNC010846)". Lineage: Eukaryota; Viridiplantae; Streptophyta; Magnoliopsida; Solanales; Solanaceae. The record is from RNAcentral.